AGAACCUUACCUGGUCUUGACAUCCACAGAACUUGCCAGAGAUGGCUUGGUGCCUUCGGGAACUGUGAGACAGGUGCUGCAUGGCUGUCGUCAGCUCGUGUUGUGAAAUGUUGGGUUAAGUCCCGCAACGAGCGCAACCCUUAUCCUUUGUUGCCAGCGGUCCGGCCGGGAACUCAAAGGAGACUGCCAGUGAUAAAGGGGAGGAAGGUGGGGAUGACGUCAAGUCAUCAUGGCCCUUACGACCAGGGCUACACACGUGCUACAAUGGCGCAUCCAAAGAGAAGCGACCUCGCGAGAGCAAGCGGACCUCAUAAAGCCCCUCCCGGAUUGGAGUCUGCAACUCGACUCCAUGAAGUCGGAAUCGCUAGUAAUCG
Molecule: ribosomal RNA, 374 nt
Filed under: Enterobacter sp. FES25
Lineage: Bacteria; Pseudomonadati; Pseudomonadota; Gammaproteobacteria; Enterobacterales; Enterobacteriaceae
Description: bacterial SSU rRNA
Rfam family: Bacterial small subunit ribosomal RNA
Source: RNAcentral